AAAAAUGAUUAUGUGCUUAGAUCAGAGAUAAGUGGAUUAUAUAAAAUGAACGAGAAUGAAAACUUGAGUUGAGACAAGAAAAGAAACAGAAUAAGAAGUGUGGCCGCUUGUCCUGCCAGAUGAAGGGGAAAAGGACAGAUUGUUUGCCAUCUUUCAUUGUUUGAAAAUUCAUUCAACAUGGGUAACGUGCCUUCAGAAGUAAAUGGCUGUAACUGCUACAAAUGUGGACAACAGCUCCCUCCAUGCACCUCUUUUUCAAAUUUGGAUACAAGAUGGAUAGAGGGUCGACAAAUGUAUGUAUUUAACAAUGGGAAGUACUAUAGGGAAGUAAAUCAUCAUAAUGCAUAUGAAUGCCCAGACUGCUUUUUUAGACCAAAGAGAGAGAGAGAGAUAAGGGAAGAGGAGAGACAGAGGAGGGAAGCUGAAGAGAGGAGAAGGGAAGAAGAGAGACAGAGGAGGGAAGCUGAAGAGAGGAGAAGGGAAGAAGAGAGACAGAGGAGGGAAGCUGAAGAGAGGAGAAGGGAAGAAGAGAGACAGAGGAGGGAAGCUGAAGAGAGGAGAAGGGAAGAAGAGAGACAGAUGAGGGAAGCUGAAGAGAGGAGAAGGGAAGAAGAGAGACAGAUGAGGGAAGCUGAAGAGAGGAGAAGGGAAGAAGAGAGACAGAGGAGAGAAGAACAAGAAAGAGCCAGCGAGGAAAAGGAGAAACAAAGAAGGGAAGACUUGAAGCAAAGGCUGAAACAAACUCACCAGAAUGCAAAAGAACAGACUGCCAAGGAAAGACUCCAUGGAACAUCUCUGUUUGAAAAUGAGACAAAGAGAGAGUUUUUUAUAAGCAAAUUUGAUGAGUUUGAGGAUUCAGAAAUACUUAACCAUGACCCUAAUGAUAAAGGAUUACUUCUCAUCCUCUCUGAAAAAUGUAGAAUCCCAGCUCCAAAUAUGAAUCUCAGUCAGUUGGCUGUUGACCACAUUGCUGAUAUCACAAGAGCUCUUGACAAUCUAUUGUUUGAUGAAUGGAUUGAUAACCCUCCUUCAGUCAAUACUUUAAACCAAGCACAAGUAUUGAUUACUGAACUGGCUGUAUUGUCAUUGGAUAUUUCUGAGAAAGUCUCGUUGGAAAACAUUUCCAAUCAGUUGCAAUUCAUUGUGGAGACAAUUGGAAGCUCAGACACUGAUUUAUAUGAGUGUUUCCUGUUUACUCAGGCUCUGUUUUUAAACCUUGUGACCCUGUUUGAGAAAAGCAAAGAUACUCAUCAAAACAUCCUCAGCAUCACUAAAAAAUGGGCCAAAAGAGAGCUUUCCGUUGAAGAAACAUCUAUUCUUAAAUUUCUUGAAAUGCUUAUUUAUUCCUUACAAGAUAUUAUGGAAAUUAACACCCAAGGUUUUGUGCUGAAUGUGGAAAAAAAAUGUUACGAGUUGCUCCUGACCACCAUCACACAAUCAUGCAGUGAAGACCUUCAUGCAGACUUAAUCCACAAGCUGUUAGGACUUGUUGAGACAAACCAAUGGACACCAGCUGAGGCAAUGGGUCUCUUAGGAGCAUUGACCGAAAAAUAUGAUGAUGAGUUUUCCAUUGUGAAAACCUUAAAUUUAGUGCAAGCAUAUGGCAUAUCCGCUACGUGGCAAGACAACCAGGGGCGUUCCUUAAGUCAUGUUCUCAACUCUGUUGGCCCUGAAAAGUUCCAUACAGUUCUUGAAAAGUCACUCAAAAGUGAAGAUGAAAGCAGUCUUGAUGAUGUUCUUCAUGAAAUAAAGGCAUCAAGGAAUUUGGAGGAGGCCACCAUUUUUAAGGUACGAUGUAUAGUAAGAGGUGUCCUAAAUUUAAUUGAAAAUGUCACAAAUGAUAAUACUAAUUGUAUAGGUUUAACAAAAGGCUCCUUGAAGAGUCACAGCUUGGAAACCGAAGACCUUCAAAAAACCUUAUUUGUUCUCUGCAAAGCAGUAUUCCAAACAAAAACCUGGUGGCCUCAAGUGACACAGAUGAUCAACUGGUGUUUGGUUGCAUUAUCAGACAACGGCAAACCUUUAGAGGUUGUUACAGAUGAACAAGACUCGUGUGUCAAUGCCAUGCUUGCUGCUAUGCAAGUGCUUAUGGGAGAGCCUGUGGACAUAAUAUUAAGCUCUGCUGCUGAGUGCAAGAAGCAAGUGGACAAAUGGUAUGACUUUUACCAGCUGUUUAGUAUUACAGUUGAUAAAAACAAUGACAAAGCCACUGGAGAAGUCUCCAAGAAAUGCUACCAGUCUGAUAUUGUCUAUGGUACCAUUGAGCAGUUUGUAGCUGAUUACCUCCAUCACAUUUCAGAGCUGAAGAAAACCUCUCACUUCCGGGGGUUCAUUCUUGAAAAGGAUGGCCUUUUUCUACACUAUGGAUUGCAGUUUCCAGGCUUUGUAAAUAAAAAUGGUUUAUUAAAAACCAUUGCAGACUAUAUUAACAUUCUACUGGAUACUGUUUCCAACUCUGACAGCAAUUUGGAUGAGAGGACUCAGUUUGUUACAGUUCUCUUACAUUCACUUCAAGCCCUGCAAGGAGACAAACUAUAUUCUGAUAUGAAGAUUCUGUCCAUUUCACAAAAAAUGUCCAAAGAGUUUUCUAAGGAGGAAAUCCAUGUUCUUAAAUUUCUGGAAACUCUUCUGAAAUCCAUUAAGGAAACAAAAAGAACAACUGAGGGCUUUGUAUCGAAGGCGGGAAGAAAAUGCUUUGAGUUGCUGCUUACUGUGGUCUUGCAAACCUGCAGUGAAGAACCCUCAAAGGAACCAAUCAAGAAGGUUUUGGACCUUGGAAGCACCAAACUAUGGACACCAUUGGAAGCCAUAGACUUCUUUGUCGCUUUGAUAGAGAAAUAUGAUAAUGAUCAUAUUUCCAUCAUGAAAGUUUUACAUUUAGUGCAGAUUUAUCAAAUAUCUUCAACAUGGAAAGAUCGUGAAGGGCAUUCUAUUAUCCAUCUUUUUGACAAAGUUGGAAUAGAUAACCCACUGCUUUAUUUUGAAAGCGAAUUGCAAAGUGAAGGAAACAAAAGUAUAGAAGAUGUUCUCACAGAAAUAAGAGAAUCAAGAGAUAUCGAUGAGGUCACUGAUGAGAAAACCUGCAUCAUUGUUAAAGCUGUUCAGCACAUGAUUGAGCAUGAAGAAAUUGAAAAAUACAAAGAUAUUUAAAAAAUUUUGCUAAAAAGAAACAGCAAGGAUGUAAAAGACCUUCAGCAGGUCCUCUAUAUUCUAUGUGAAGCAGUUUUCAAAGUAAGUAAGUGGUGGCCCAGAGUUACUCAGAUGAUCAGCUGGUGUUUCUUAGCUCUAUCUGACUCUGGGAAGCUUCUGGAGAUGGGUACUGGGGAAGGAAAGUCCUGCGUCAUAGCCAUGUUUGCAGCAAUGCGUGUGCUUAUGGGAGAGAAAGUUGACAUAGUCUCUAGCUCUUCUGUUUUAAGUGAGAGGGAUGCAGAAGAAUGGUCUAAAUUUUAUGAUCAUUUUGGUAUUAAAGUAGAUACAAACACGGCCAAAACCACUGAUGAAGACCGCAAGAAAUGCUACCAGUCUGAUAUUGUUUAUGGCACUGUAGAGACAUUUGCAGCUGACUAUCUACGGCAGACUUUCGAACUGAAGGACAUAUGCCCUGAUCGUGAGUUCCAGUGCAUCAUAAUUGAUGAGGUGGAUUCUCUUUUAUUGGACCGGGGAGUGCAACUCACAUAUCUGUCCACCGACACGGUCAGUAUGUAUCACCUAAAUACUGUCUUGACAAUGAUCUGGAGUACUGUAAGCCAGUAUGGUCUUGUAGCAACAGAAAACAGGACAUUUAUCAGGGGCCCACCACUGCCUUUCUACAAAGCUGUCUAUGAUUCCAUAGACACUGAAGGAUCGGGAAUCGAAGAACCAAUUGAUAUUUUGCGUAUUGCCGAAGAACAUAAUGUGGUUCAUUUGGGUUUCAUUCAGGAAAUCUAUAGAGAUAGAGAGAAACUAUUGGAGGAGUUAAAGACAGUAAACCAGGAUGCUAUGCUUGAGUUCUUUAAAAAAGCAGAAGAAUACCUACCCUAUCGUUUCAUUGCUUACACCCAAGACCAGACUGGAACACUGCAGCCUGAACUUCGUAGUGAGAAUGAUGUACAAGAUAUUCAGGACUUAUCUUUUCUAGUUCUGCAGGAUGGUUUAUGUUGUGCAUUGUAUGAUUCUGAAGAACUCUUAUGGGAUCCCAUUCUAAAUAACGUAAGAGUUAAUCUCCAAUUCACUCCAUCAGAAAACAGUAAAGACAAGCUUAAUAUCCCAGGUUUUCUCAGAAAUCUAGUGGAAAAGAAACUGGAAACUUGGGUUCAGAAUGCCUUUUUAGCCAUCAAGCUAAAGCAAGGCCAGGAAUAUGUAGUUGAAGGUGACUGUAUCCUGCCUGUAGAUUUCAAGUCCACUGGUAUUGUAGAGCUGAACAAGAAAUGGGGUGAUGGCUUGCAACAAUUUCUAGAAAUAAAACACCAAAGUAAAAUAAGUUGCAUGUCCUCUGUGACCAAUUACAUUUCCAAUGUGACUUAUUUCAAAAAGUAUCAGGAGCAUAUCUAUGGAACCACGGGAACAUUGGGGACCAGAUGUGACAUACAGUUCUUACAGGAGCUCUACCCAAAUCUUUCAACUUGUAGUGUUCCACCAUUCAAUAGGAAGAAGCUAUUUGAAGUAAAAGGCGUGAUUACACAUACCAUAGAGGGAUGGAAAACAAAAAUAUGUAUCGCUGUUGAAGACCAGAUUAACCCGACUGCUUAUAGAGGAGGCCGAGCAGCUCUUGUGAUCUGUGAAAGUAUUAACAAAGCCUAUGAAGUUCAUGCAGCACUAAAAACACAUGUGUCUGGUCAACUCAAGCUGUAUACCAGGAGUGACAAUAAUAACCUAAAUAUCUUAGAAGAUGCAUUGAAUCCGGGUGAUGUUAUUGUUGCAACAAACUUAGCUGGCCGUGGCACAAACAUUAAAGUCUCUGAUGAGGUCAAUGAAAGUGGAGGUUUAUUUGUGGUCCUUACCUUCCUUUCUCAGAAUGCAAGAGUGGAGCUGCAAGCAUUUGGCCGAACAGCACGCAAAGGUAAACCUGGUUCUGCUCAAAUAAUCAUGUGCUCCAGCCACCUUCAAGAGUCUUUGAAAUCAGAUUCUACACUGGAAUUGGUGAAGGAAAGCAGGGACAUUCUGGCAAAAAACAAGGUUGAGCAUGUUAUGAUGGAUGAUAUCCCUGAGGUUUGUCUGAGAGAAGAGCUAUUUUCGAACUAUUGCAAGACCCUAUUAAAGAUAUAUAAUGAUAUUGAGGAUGUUGAGGUCCGCAAAGCUACAGUUGCUAUCAUGAAUGAGUACUGGGGCAUAUGGCUGCAAAUAAAGUCAGAGGAGAUUGUAAAUUUAAAACAAACUGAGCUACUUAAGAGCCUGAGUACUGACAUGAUAAAUGCCAAACAUCAGUCUGAAACUAACGAGUCUCCCUGUGCUAGCAUUUACCACUAUAUUAAGUUUGCUAACAAUGCACUCUUUGACAACAAUUUGUCAGAGAGUGCUAGACUUUACAAAAAAGCCAUGGAUCUAGACCCAACCUGGGCUGCCAUUGCUUUCUAUAGUCAUGCCUACUGUACUAUAAAAGAAAGCAAUACAGAUUACCUAUUAAGAGCCAUAGAAGAGUUACAGAAGGCAAAGGAAUCUAUGAAGUACUUCACUGAGGAGUGUGUGGUCACUUUGCAGCUGGUGAAGAUGUGUAGCAGAGAUUCAGGAGAAAGCAAUACGGCCUUUGAGAAACAAAUUAUGACAAAGUGCAAUGUAAUUGGUUACUUUGAUAAAAACAUUAAUGAAGCCUUGAGCAAAUUGACUGACAUCAAGAAAAGAGGUAGGGAUGCAGAGGCAGUGGAAACUUCUGUGUUCUCUUUGGUAACAGAUACUGAAACUGAGAUCCAAGAGCAACUAUAUUUUUUUUAUAAGCUUGGUCUAGAGAAUGUCUUUUCUGUACAAGAAAAACCUCGUUUCUGUUGGGAAGGACUGCUGGUUUUCUUCCUCGGAGUUCUCCAGAUAGUGGGAGGAACGCUUCUGACUGUAUUCACUGCUGGUACACUUGCCACUGUUGGAAUGAGUCUAAUAACUGAAGGGAUAUCUGAUUGUAUCAGUGGAAUAGAAGCCAUGGUGACAGGAGAGUUCAGCUGGAAGUCAUGGGCUAUAGAGAAAUCGAUUUCUGUAGCUGUCUCACUUAUUGGGUUUGGUGUUGGCAAGUUGCUCGCCAAAGGCUUUAAAGCAUCCAAGGCAGCAAUUAAGAGUUUUGGUAAAAAUCUAAAGUCCUUGCCCAAGGUCAUUUCAAAAGAAAGCAGACAAGGUCUACAUGGUGUCAUGAAGGUUAACAUGAAGAAUGCAAUGAAACACACAGGUAAAGAAAUUGGACAACAAAUUGUCAUGUAUGGAAUAAGCAAAGCAGAAGACAAGUUAAUUGAACUCAUUAUUGAAAAAAUAAAAAAUGAAGUCCGAGACAAAGCCAUGACAACAGUGAAAGCAGAUAUGGAAAGGGAUCCAUUGGGACCAUUAGUAGACUUGGUAAUUCUGUCACAGCUUGAAGAUGUGGAAGACGUACGGGAUCUUUUAAUGGAUAGUAAUCUUAAAACACAGUUAAAGGAGAUUUUCCAGUCGAUAUCUAUGAAAGUACUACAGCCAUACUGCAUUGACCUUGACUGGCAGAACACUCUCUCCGCUUCCAUUCUCGGUGUGUUCAAUGAAGCCAAACAGGAAGUUAAAGGGUUGAAAAGCACAGUUUUGACUGCAAUCCAAGCCACACACAUGGCUGCAUUGGGUAUUGAUGCAGUUAUUGCAGUGACCAGUCUUUGUAAGGAGUUUAACAACAAAUAUUCAGAAAAUUUGAAAACAUUUGCAGAAAAAAAUGGGAUGGUGGAGAAAGUGAAAAAAGGACAACUGUCAGUUAAUGACAAGCAGAUAUUGGAGGGUUUCAAACAUGAACUGUCUGAUAUAAUAGCAAAAAAGCUGUCAGAUGUUGUGGUUCAGAUUUUCCAUGACAAAUUCUCCAGCCAUCUUUUUAACAUUGCCAAAGUACAAGCUAAUCAACACCUCAGUAACUAUUUGAGGAUCGGUUUUAAAACAGAAAGAACUAAAGAAAAGCUAAAAGCUGGACAAAAUAACAGCUACAUAGCCAACAAUCCUGUGGAUAUAAAAUCAAAUAAAAAUCUCCACACAGAUAAGCUGCAACGCGUGCAAUCUUAUGCCCAGAAAAUUAAGGAGAUUGAUACUCCAGGGACAAUACUUGAUCUCAGGAUAUUAGCCGAAGCAACUAGGACAAAGGUUGUCAUUUUCACUGAGGACAACCAGGGAAAACUGAAUAAAAUGCAGGUUGUGGACCCCAAUACCAAUACUGCUUCUCAAACUGUUGAAUUAGUCUAUAAACCAAAAAGCGAUCAAUACCCUGAUGGCCAUUAUGACCUCUGUCUCAGUGGAAAAGUAGUCAGGUUGGAAAAUGAAGACAAAAGUUGUAUGUUUCAUGCUUUGGCCCGUGGGCUGCAAUUGACAUCUUCUGAUGAACAUGUCUCUUCUUCAGUGGAAAAGCUCAGAAUGUUGGAAGCUGAAACACUCUUGAACAAGUCAUCCCAAUGGGCAUCUUUUAUUAAACGUAAACAGUGGACAGAUGGGAUCAGAGGGGGCGACUGGUUCAUGGCAGAGGGAGCUGCUCCAAUACGGCGGCAAGAAACAAAAAAUGAACUUAAAAAGCAUCUGGGAAUAGUAAAAAAAUACAAAAAGAACAGGAUAUUUAUGUACAAAUCAGGGAUAGGGCAUUUCAUCAAUGCAGACCAUCAACCACCAGUGAACAGCAUCCUCAGUGCCUACAACAUGAACCAGAACAGUAAGCUUGCUAUAGCAAUGCUCGAAGUUGCAACUCAAUCAAGUCCAUUGAAUGUCAGUUUAAUUCCAUCAGUACACAAGUAUCAUGGCAUGAAUCUUCCCACUUCUUUAUUGCCUCAAGUGUUGCAUCGCAGGUUUCCCAGUACCAUUUCAAAGAAAUUUCGGGAAGAGUUAGCAAAGAGCAUAAGUACUAAUAAUGUACGAGAUGCCUUCAAGCUGACCUUCAUUGGAGCAAUACCCGAUUAUAUACUGAAGCCUUCUACAAAGAAGAAUAACAAUAAGACAUCCAAUAGAGCACAACUCAGAUUAAAUGCACAAAGAUUGGCAGUGUUCCACAACACCAUUCUACAGUCUCAUAUUAAUAUUUUAAAUAAAUGGUAUAAAAAACUUUCACCAAAGAAUGUAAUGAAUCAAAAUGAUUACAAUGCCAUUCACACCUGGAUUAAUGCAAAGGGUUAUUUAGACCAGAACGAUCUGUUUCACAAGAUGGUUGUAGGUUUCCUCCCUUGAGCUGGAAUUUACAAAAAUAGAAGCGAGAUGACCAGCUUUGGAGAAGAACGAUUGUAAUCACAAAAGAUGGAUUCAGCUGCUUCAAAAGAAAAGAAGAAAAAUUGUUUGAAACAUUGCAGCACGAUGCCGUCUGCUAUCUAAUAGCAAAGCUACAGAAUUUUAAGAAAAUGCUUUGCUUUAAAUUACAUAUGAAAAUAAUUCCCUUUGUUUCUUGAUAGUUUGUUUUAUUGAUUACUAGUGUGUGUGUCAGUAAUACACACUCCAUGCAACUUGCAGUACAGCGUGAAAUUCUGACUUAUUUACUGAAAUCUGUAGAAUAACCAGAAAAUGAUCUGAUACGGAAAUAUCAUUAACUGAAUAGUUUGUAUUUAAGCAAUAAUACACAACAGGGUGUGUGUUAUCAUAAGAGAUUGCCACGCCUUCAAGCCCCUUGAUAACACAUCCUGGAGAGUAUCAUUGCUGUUAUUGAUUUAUGAAUGCAAUGAUGGUGUUAAAUGAAAAAAAAAAUUAUUUGUGCAACAUUACACUAAGAGAAGUACUGCUGCAAAGUGAAAUUGUUAACUUUAAAAUUUGAUUGAGAACUGUUCAAAAGUUACCUAAAAACAAGGUAUUUAACAGCUUGUUUGUAACCCACUUUACUAUAAGGAUUGUUGUAAUUCUGAAGUGACUGUUUUUGUAUUGGAUGUGUUGAUUUUAGACAGCGAUGAGGCUGCUUUAGAGAAAUCAGUAAUGUUAUCAUGAGGACAUCUCAGGCAAUCAGAGUCUAGGAUUGUUCCUAAUUAUUUCUAUGAUUAGACAAUAUGCUUUACAUUAAUAUUUCUUUUAGAGUCAUUUUUGUUAUAUAUUAAUAAGUCUCUGUUAUUAGUCAAAAUAUAUUCAAAAGAUUUUUUGGGGGUAACAAAUGUUAGCUUGUGUAGUUCAGGGGGCGUGGAGCAGGGGUUCUAAUCUUCUAAUCUUCUAAUUUUCUAAUUCUGUCAAUUAGUGUUAAUUAGUAUAUUUUUCUAUUUAAGCCCUGAUCACCUGCACCCUUUCUGUCGAGUGUUUCGUUUUUGAAUCCUGACCGGUAGUGUUACGCAUUACUUUAAAAAAAAUAAACAAAAAAAACAAAAAAAACAAUAUAUAUAUAUAUAAUAAUAACUCCUACGAAGAUUAUCGUUCAAACAACUAAAUAGCUGCAAGAUUACCUGCUGACUAUGGAAAAGCCUUCAGCCUACGCCUUUCCUUCCGACUCAGACGAGUUCCUGCCUCCGACUCCUCCACCGGUCCGUCUCUGUCAGACCUCCCGUUCCUCCUCCCGGCUCUCGACUGCACCAGCCCCGUCAGUCAACCUGGCUUCCACCUGGCCUUCAGCUAGGCAAGAGCGCGGCUCAAAGCGCGGUUCUGCCAGCCAGCCCCCGCCACAGCUUCAUUAUAAAGAUUGGAUGACACCUAAGCUACUGAAAAUCCUUUUUGAGAAGUCCAUUCCCAUCCCCGUGGGCGGAGAUCGCAUGUCCUUAUUUCUUACUUAUUGUGAAGCUUUGUCAGCCGAGCUGAUUUUUCCUCCCCGUCUGCAAGCUUCGGCCAUCAGGCCCUCCACCUCUGCUGCUCUCUCAGCUUCUGUUCCUGCUGCGCAUACGCAAGAUCCUGCUCAUGCAGCUCAGCUCCCCCUGCCGGCGCAGUCAGCGCAUCCACAGCAUCUGCUGCCGCAGUCACUUACUUCGCCCAUCACCUCCACCAGCAGCGCCCCUCAGGUCACAUUUAAUCAGCUGAAAACUCUGCUUCAGCCCAUUAUAGACUCUCAGCUAGCCCUCAGCGCCCGUCUUGACAAACUGGAGAAUCCCUCUCCGGUUCUACCUGCCUUCAGUUCCACUCCUGCUCAUACUUCAGGUACGUCCUCUUUAGUACCCCCUGUUGCUUUUCCAGAGUUGAACCUCUCCUCAGCCACUGUAGCAGGUUCUUCUUCUCCCCGUGCUAUUACCAGCCAUUCUAUUUCUCCAAAAAUUAGGAAGCAAAUUAUCGAAGGCAAGGACGUUAAUCUCGUUUCCAUUCGCAUCGCCUCUUCUGAGUUUUUGGAUCACAGAGUGGUCGACUGUGAAGACGUUUCAAUCACUCUAAAGUCCUGCGACCCACGUCUUCAAAAAGGCCUUUCAGUGGGGGAAUUUGUUCUCGCUUUCUCCAUCUAUCGUGACAUUCUCUGUUCUGUUUAUCCACACAGAUUACAGGAGCUAAAUCAGUAUCUCUUCCUGGUUGUUGAAUUGUCUGUGCGCUAUGGGGGCACCCUGUUCUAUCAAUACCACCACGCUUUCUCAGCCAAAGCCGCUGCCACCCUUUCAGCUGACAACCGUAUCGUGGACUGGUCCCAUUCCGACCCAGAUCUUUUCACCCGCAUCUUCAGUGGAAUUCGUGCCAACGCCUGCAGUGCAUGCGCCUCCACAGCGCACUCCUCUCACUUAUGCCCUAAAGUUGCAGCUAGUCCACUUCAACCCAUUCCUCGUCCCUUGCCUUCUCUUCCCAGUUCAAGACCACUUGCCCUUGCUUCCAUCCAUGCUUCAGCUCGGCCCACCAGAUCUCAAGCCCAAGAUAUCUAUGGCCGUCCCAUCAAGUUUUCAGGCGGCAAGCAAAUAUGUAAUAAUUUUAAUUUUUCCACCUGCUUCAACCGUCUCUGCAAGAACCUCCACGUCUGCAGCUUCUGUAAUGACGCCCACUCCCGGUCCAUAUGUCCUCUUACAGCUAAGUGACAAUCAAAACUACUUCAUGUUUUCACUCCCAUCAACGUUUUGGCUUUCGAUAAGGCACUUCAAAAUCAUCCUGACAAGCCGUUCGUCUCCUAUCUAAUUAAUGGACUUACAUAUGGCUUCUUCACUGGCAUUUCUCACAUCCCUUUGGAGUCUCACAUCUGUCAAAACCUCCGUUCUGCCAUAGCAGAGCCAAAAGUCGUCAGUUCCCUCAUCCAAGCCGAAGUUGAUAAAGGCUUCAUGGUCGGUCCCUUUGCAGCACUGCCCUUCACUACCUUUCGCAUUAAUCCCAUAGGCAUCGCUACCUGCAAGUAUUCUGGCAAGAAACGCCUUAUCAUUGACCUAUCUGCUCCUCGGGGCGGUUACACACGUAGCAUCAAUUCCCUCAUUUCAAGUGAGGAGUUCGCUCUUCACUACAUAAAGCUCUCAGAUGCCAUUCAUUUCAUCAAAAUUGCAGGUCACGGAGCCUGGCUGGCCAAGGUCGAUAUCUCUGAUGCAUUCAAGGUCAUGCCUAUUCAUCCUUCCCUCCGUCACCUUUUUGGAGUCUGCUGGGCAGACAAGUUCUAUUUCUCCACCCAGCUCACCUUCGGUUGCCGCAGUAGCCCAAAAAUAUUUGAUUCCUUAUCAGAAGCCCUCUGCUGGAUUUUGCUCAACACCUAUCGUGUUCCCUUUCUCCUCCAUCUAAUGGACGACUUCCUACUUAUUUCCCCCCCUUCAGAUCCUCCAGCCCAAGCAAUUAAUCAGCUCAAGGCCCUUUUUCUCCUUAGUUGGUGUCCCCCUUUCUCAAGAGAAAACCAUCGGCCCCGUCAACUCUCUGGAAUUCCUCGGCAUUACUUUAGAUACUGUGAAAUUCGAAGCCAGCCUGCCCCCUGCCAAACUCCAACGUAUUCUCUCACUCAUCAACAGUUUUCAGAUCUCCUCUUUCAUUAAGAAGCGAGACCUCCUGUCUCUCCUCGGUCAUUUUAAUUUUGCCAUUUGCAUCAUUCCUCAGGGCAGAACAUUUAUCUCACGUCUUCUAGUCCUCUCAUCAACUGCGAAGAAUAUGAAUUCACACGUCAAAAUCUCAGCCGAAGCCCGAAAAGAUAUAAAAAUGUGGAUUUCUCUCCUUACUAACUGGAACGGUCUCUCCUUAUUUUAUGAUAACUUUAUUUCAGCCCCUCACGAUCUUGCCCUCUUCACAGACGCCUCAUCCAUCGGAUUCGGCGGGUUCCUCUCAUGCGAAUGGUUCUCCAGCACUUGGCCCCCUGAAAUUCAGCUUCUUCCCCCUCAAGAGAAAUCCACUGCUCUCCUAGAAUUAUAUCCAAUCGUAGCAGCCGCUGUCCUCUGGGGUCACCAAUGGUCAAGGAAAUCAAUCCUUUUCUUCAGUGAUAACAAACCCACAGUGCACAUCAUCAACAAAGGACGUUCUUCAUCCCCUCUCAUUAUGCGCUUGCUCCGUCGUUUCAUAUGGUCUUCUGUAUCUCUCAACUUCCUAAUACAAGCCCGCCAUCUUCCUGGUACCCAUAAUAAUGCUGCUGAUGCUCUCUCCCGCCUGCAGAUAUCCAAGUUCUGUCAGCUGGUCCCGUCUGCUUCCACAAACCCCCUUCAGAUCCCACAGUUUCAUCAGCUGCUUCUAGACUGAACCCUACCCUCCGCAACCUCCUUCAAUCUGCUCAAAACUACAUGUCUACAGCCCUCACCCCUUCUUCAAGAGCUUCUUAUUCUACAGCCUGGUCAGCAUUCCUAACCUUCUGCGCUCAUAAUCAUAUCCACCCAUUCCCUUCAAUCAAGACUGGAUUCUGGCUUUCAUUGUCCAUGCUAAGGAAUCUCUCCAUCUCUCCCCAGCAUCCAUUAAAUCUUACAUUUCAGGAAUCCAAUAUCACUACCGCAUCAUGUCCGUGCCUUCUCCCACCAUUCUCUCCAUACCAGUAGUUCGUCUGACUCUCCGUGGAAUCUGCAAAAGUCCCCCCCCCCCGCUGCACUUUCCCGCUUGCCCAUAUCAACAGACAUUCUCCAUCCACUCAUCUCUACUCUUCGGAAAGGUUGCUUCUCCCCCUACGAAGAUCUCCUCAUGGAGACCAGAAGUCUCAGAAUUCACAGUUCCUUCAGCUUCUAGUUUCUCACUCCAUUAUCACUCAUCACUGGUUCUCAGCCCACCUCUCCACGCUCCUCUCCAGAACAGUCCUCCCUCCUCAGCUUUAUAUUCCCCACUCAUUUCGUUUAGGCGCAGCUACCUCCGUCGCAAGGGCCAGCAUCAACCACAGCCUGAUCAAGACCAUGGGGCGCUGGUCCUCCUCUGCAGUAGACUCUUAUGUUCGUUCAUCCCCCUCCGAUAUAGUCCUAGCCCAUUUUAAAAUUGCUAGUAUGCCCGGAGUGGGGGCUACCUGACCGCCGGGGCCACCAGAGGUUUUCCCCUAAUCGGCCUCAAGGGGUUUUUCCCUCUCCACUGAGCGGCAGAUAUACACAUAAUCACAUCCUACUAAUAUCCACUAACUUCCCUCUGUUUGUCUCGUUUGUCCUUCUGGUCUUGUGUCUAUGUUAUGCGUUGGCAUGGCUCUCUUUGUUCGUCUCACGGUGUGGGAGAUUUCGUGAGGUGCCGGGGGUCCAUCCUUUGGGGGGCAAGUGAGUCUCACUUCCCCGACCUCAGGGUUAGGCAUCUGCCUCCCUUACCUUCAGGGGGGUUCUCACAAUGUGAGUCAGAGCGGACCCCCGGCCAUACCCUGUCCUGUCGCAGCUCCUGCGCUUAUCUUGCCUCACUCGAGGCUCUGUUCAAUUCUGCCUUUCUUUUGGGACGUGGCCCUUGUGCUCGAGUCCUAUACUAAACUCUAUGCUUUGUCCUUAUUUCAGGUCCCAGGCAGGGCGACGUCUCGGCCAAUCAGGGGUUUAACGAGCGCCCCUUACAGAAGUCUCAGACGCUGGGUAGCCCUCUCUCUCUCAUCUCCUUUUAUGUCCUUGUCAUCCGGGACCGACUUCCUCUCGAGGGGUCGGCUCUCCAGUCAUAACCCUCGUAUAUGUUUUCGGUUGCUGGGUCCUCUGUCCCUGGGAUGCGUCGGCAUCGCUGCCCUCAGUCAGCGACCACCUUUCUAUCCUGUCUUCGGUAUGCUGGGUCCUCUGCCCCUGGGAUGCGUCCCAGGUACAUCGGAGGUGUCGGUUGAUUUGGCAGUGGAAGGCAUGGCAAGGCUUGACGGUUCCUGCGGUGGGUGGGGUGCGGCGGGAGAGCCGGCCUGUGGGACCCCCCGGGAGUUCUGGAACUUAUUUCUUUUAACUAUUUUUUUUCAGGACAGUAACAACCAUUAAGUUUUUUUUUGUUUUUUUUAGAUUUUUACCAACAGGAGAGGACUGCCUAGUGUGGUUUAUUUUUAAUAUUGUUUUUUGGUACUCCCUAUUGUGUGCUUUUUACUAUUUUGUCUGUUUAUCAUUGUGUUGAUUUUAAUGUUUGAAAUAUCCCUGUUGAGAACAAUAAACUUUGUUUUACCUA
Acipenser ruthenus (sterlet) is the source of this 14502-nucleotide RNA transcript. RefSeq lists it as uncharacterized. Lineage: Eukaryota; Metazoa; Chordata; Actinopteri; Acipenseriformes; Acipenseridae. The record is from RefSeq and is a predicted model, not a curated record. The transcript has 3 exons.